Molecule: ribosomal RNA, 562 nt
Filed under: uncultured Dechloromonas sp.
Lineage: Bacteria; Pseudomonadati; Pseudomonadota; Betaproteobacteria; Rhodocyclales; Azonexaceae
Description: bacterial SSU rRNA
Rfam family: Bacterial small subunit ribosomal RNA
Source: RNAcentral
GGCGAACGGGUGAGUAAUGUAUCGGAACGUACCUUUCAGUGGGGGAUAACGUAGCGAAAGUUACGCUAAUACCGCAUAUUCUGUGAGCAGGAAAGCAGGGGAUCGCAAGACCUUGCGCUGAUUGAGCGGCCGAUAUCAGAUUAGCUAGUUGGUGGGGUAAAGGCCUACCAAGGCUACGAUCUGUAGCGGGUCUGAGAGGAUGAUCCGCCACACUGGGACUGAGACACGGCCCAGACUCCUACGGGAGGCAGCAGUGGGGAAUUUUGGACAAUGGGGGCAACCCUGAUCCAGCCAUGCCGCGUGAGUGAAGAAGGCCUUCGGGUUGUAAAGCUCUUUCGGCCGGGAAGAAAUCGCAUCAGCUAAUACCUGGUGUGGAUGACGGUACCGGGAUAAGAAGCACCGGCUAACUACGUGCCAGCAGCCGCGGUAAUACGUAGGGUGCGAGCGUUAAUCGGAAUUACUGGGCGUAAAGCGUGCGCAGGCGGUUUUUUAAGAUAGGCGUGAAAUCCCCGGGCUUAACCUGGGAACUGCGCUUAUGACUGGAAGACUAGAGUACGGCAGA